UGCCCAGCAACUCCUAUCCCUACCUCCUCGCGGUACUGGCCGGGGUACGAGUAACCUUAGGGAAGAUCGGGUAACCAACCCCCGGUGGGAACUUUGGUCGUAUGCUGUCAGGGAAGG
Molecule: ribozyme, 117 nt
Filed under: Aedes aegypti (yellow fever mosquito)
Lineage: Eukaryota; Metazoa; Arthropoda; Insecta; Diptera; Culicidae
Description: drz-agam-1 ribozyme
Rfam family: drz-agam-1 ribozyme
Source: Rfam by way of RNAcentral